CACAGGCUUGCGAAAGCCUUCAAUGAGCUCUCAGUUGCAUCCUUGGCCAGUGAGAAACUUCAGCGGGCAAAAAAAAAAAACAAACCCCAGCGCCCCGAGUCUUUCACAGCUCAGAGCUUUGCUACGGGAUGACCAUGCGAGUGGCUGAUUCUGCUCCCUGAGCCCUAUGUCUUCUGCCUUCUUCUGCCUUCCCGAACUUCUUCGGGGCACGGCUUUUGCUGGUUUUUACUGUCAUCCUGAAACAUAAGCCUUCGAAAAUAAUAUUAUCUUACAAAAUCUCAGCAUAAUGCCAGCUCUUAUUAGAACUGAUGGCUGCUGUGGGUAAAAAAGAACAAAAUAAAUAAAAAUCGCAGUGUGUCCGUAGAGUCGAUAAAAAAUACCGGAGGAAGGUUUAUGCAAAGGCAACUUUUGAGGCAUGGGCAGAUGGAGUAGGCGAAAGGUGAAGUUUAUACAUUCUUUCCAAUUGGCUUGGCUGUGAUAAAGCCAGCAAAGCACUAGCUUUUUAUUCAGUGACCAUUCUGAUCUAAAAUUCUUUCUGUACCAGCUACGUAACUGAAAUUUCUGGUUAUUAUAAGUGUGGGGGUGAAUUCUGCCCUCUGAUGUGUGCACAAGUUCCGUUUUCCUUUAGGAUCAUUUGGGUUAAUGUACAUGCAUGUCAGGGCAGAGUUUAAUAUUAUUCCUGUGGAACAGCGAACAACGUUAGGUCAGACACGCCGGUUUCAUUUAAUACUAAGCAUGUUUAAGAAGAAAUGUCAGAGUUCAGUUCCGCUGGCUCGUGAUGUAAGUCAGGAAUUACUGAAGCCAGACACCUACCCUGCUCUUACACCAGUUUUGCACUAGGAUUACUCCACUGAAAUAAAUCAGCUCUUUAACAGGAAUCCACCGUACUGACGUAUGAGCAGUUCAUAAACUUUAUGCAAACAAGGAAAUCAUGUUACACAGAAGGAACUGAAAAAUAGUGGUCUGGAUUCAUUCCUCUUCUAUUUAGAAGUUCAGCUUGGCGUGCUUGCAGUAUGUAUGCUACACGAUAUGGAAGUACUUACCCCAAAGAAAUGAGGAAUGUAGAGUCUUCAUCCUGGGAAAGAUCUGGUAGAGGUGUGUACAACUGUCCCUCAGAGAAGCUGAAUUGGAAACAGCUGAUCACAUUCUCUCACUUUUAUCAAGAGUGGAACUCAUCAACUGAAAUAAACUCGUGGUGGAUUCCAAAGAAACAUGAGAGUUGCCUAAUGGUAAGGAAUUAAAUUUCAGAACUCAUUGCCUUGGGAUGCAGGGAUGGCUUCAGAGAGAUUAAGUACAUCUGCAACAUAACGAUUAUUCAAAGGCUGAUUUCAGACUUGGGACUCUGGACAGUUGUGAAUAUUUGGUCUGAAUCAGGAUGACCAUACAUACACUCUUUGUUUUGUUCUUCUGAAUGAGUGCCUGAGCAAUCAUUGAGGGACAUAGGAAGCUUGACUUCCAGCCAGCCAUACCAGUGAUUUCUCUGAAGGUGGCAUGAAGGACUCAAAGCAUUGCCCCACGUCAUUCAAGAGAUCUGUGGUGCAGCAGGGUAACUCAGCUCUACAGCUAGCAACUGAAAACAUCCAUCAUGUCUACUCAGCAUUUUUUUGACUUACACAGCUUUACCCCAGAGCUCAAGCAAUUAUUUGCAGCCUGAAAAAAAGGGCAGCUACAGUCACUCGUAAGAUUUGGUCUCCUGCAUGGCUAUACAGGAGACUUCAGUCAUCUUGUGGGCACAAAUACAGUUUCUGAAUUGUGAGUGUAUAUAUGUAUGUUAUCAUACUCUUUCACUGUGAAAGUAGUAACUACUGUAUGUGGUAAAAUGAUAUAUUGUUGUCCGCAGAAUGUCUUUGGCAACAGGAUGUUCACUAGCCUUGGAAUUUUGCCUUGUAUAAAUAUUUUUAAUCUACUCCAUGUAGGCAUAUUUUGGCUGCAAAAUAAAGGGUUUUGGAGAUUAAUAUAUCCAGGCUCAGUUCUGCUUAUACAUCCUACAUACAUCAAGUUUUUAUUGAACUAUGCAUCUAGAAUCUUCGUGUAGCAGCUGUUUUGGGGGCUUUUUUUUUCUUUUGCCUGCUUUACUCAAAGGAGGAUUAUGACUAUAUCCUAUUUUUAUACUCUACAAAUGUAGUAAUUUAAUCUACAGAUAUAUUUUCAUUCUUCAGAUGUAACCUAUAUAAAGCAUGUUCAAAUUUAUGGUCAUUGCUUUUCCUGUAAAGUAUAUUAUUGGCCUCUUUUCAAAUGUCCACGUUUUCCCAAGGAAUGCCCAAACAGCUAUUUAUCAAUGAAUAAAG
RNAcentral lists this long non-coding RNA (2288 nucleotides) under Gallus gallus (chicken). Lineage: Eukaryota; Metazoa; Chordata; Aves; Galliformes; Phasianidae. The record is from RNAcentral.